Molecule: unclassified non-coding RNA, 308 nt
Filed under: Hevea brasiliensis (rubber tree)
Lineage: Eukaryota; Viridiplantae; Streptophyta; Magnoliopsida; Malpighiales; Euphorbiaceae
Source: RNAcentral
GUUAUUGGAUUUUUGUUGAUUCUAAUGAUUUUGAUCUUCUUGUGUCAAAGAAAGAGAACCAAACAAGGAGUUCCUAAAGAUACUCGGGAGCCAAAGCAAAGCGAAAUUGAAAUUUCCCGCGAUAAGGCAGUGGUUGACAGGGAUAAUGCAAGCACUGGGUUUGCCGGAGCAGCUGCGGUGGCCAAAAGUGAAGCUAAGAGUGGUGGUGGGAAUAAAAGUUUGGUGUUCUUUGGGAACACACCAAGGGUGUUUGAUUUGGAGGACUUGUUGAGAGCUUCUGCCGAAGUGCUUGGGAAGGGGACUUUUGG